UACGUAGGCAGCGAGCGUUGUUCGGAAUUACUGGGCGUAAAGAGUGUGUAGGCGGUGCUCCAAGUCUGUUGUGAAAUCCCCCGGCUUAACUGGGAGGGUGCGGCGGAAACUAGAGUGCUAGAGGGUGGGAGAGGUAAGCGGAAUUCCUGGUGUAGCGGUGAAAUGCGUAGAUAUCCGGAAGAACACCGGUGGCGAAGGCGGCCUGCUGGGCAGUGGCUGACGCUGAUGCGCGACAGCGUGGGGAGCAAACAGG
Molecule: ribosomal RNA, 253 nt
Filed under: uncultured bacterium
Lineage: Bacteria
Description: partial 16S ribosomal RNA
Rfam family: Bacterial small subunit ribosomal RNA
Source: RNAcentral